UUUCCGUAGGUGAACCUGCGGAAGGAUCAUUAUUGAAUGAACUUGGUAGUGGUUGUAGCUGGCUCUCUCGAGAGCAUGUGCACACCCGCCAUCUUUAUCUUUCCACCUGUGCACUUCUUGUAGACUUUGGGAUUUGAAAGCUUAUCCGGGGCAACUCGGUCGGGAGGAGCUGCUGUAGCAAUACGGCUCUCCUUGACAAGUCUUCAAAGUCUAUGUUUUUCAUAUACCCCAUAGUAUGUAACAGAAUGUAUACAAAUGAGCCUUAGUGCUUAUAAAACUUAUACAACUUUCAACAACGGAUCUCUUGGCUCUC
This 313-nucleotide unclassified non-coding RNA is filed under the name plant metagenome. RNAcentral's name for it is "partial contains small subunit ribosomal RNA, internal transcribed spacer 1, and 5.8S ribosomal RNA". The record is from RNAcentral.